ACUCUCCUACGGGGGGCAGCAGUGGGGAAUAUCGCACAAUGGGGGAAACCCUGAUGCAGCAACGCCGCGUGAGUGAAGAAGUCAUUCGUGAUGUAAAGCUCUAUCAGCAGGGAAGAAAAUGACGGUACCUGAGUAAGAAGCCCCGGCUAACUACGUGCCAGCAGCCGCGGUAAUACGUAGGGGGCAAGCGUUAUCCGGAUUUACUGGGUGUAAAGGGAGCGUAGACGGCAUAGCAAGUCUGAUGUGAAAGAUCGGGGCUCAACCCCGGGCCUGCAUUGGAAACUGUUAAGCU
This 292-nucleotide ribosomal RNA is filed under the name uncultured bacterium. Its description in RNAcentral is "partial 16S ribosomal RNA". It matches the Rfam family "Bacterial small subunit ribosomal RNA", at positions 333 to 642 of the family's 1533-position model. The record is from RNAcentral.